RNAcentral lists this long non-coding RNA (215 nucleotides) under Carica papaya (papaya). RNAcentral describes it as "long non-coding RNA (CPAP_LNC012722)". Lineage: Eukaryota; Viridiplantae; Streptophyta; Magnoliopsida; Brassicales; Caricaceae. The record is from RNAcentral.
AUGGUAAUAUAGAGAGUAAAAUCAGAGAGGAGAAAAAUGAGAUAACUCCUCUUGGGGGAUAACUUUCAUUUAAAGCUCCUGAGAUUGGGAGCAAUCCCGCAGCACAUGAACAAUAUCUUUGUGGGUGGCACCACAGAGAGAACAACUUGGAUCACCAGUCAUAUGUUGUCAUUGUCGCUUCUAAUUUGUAAGAAGACUACCCCUCAUAGCUAACC